CUUCUACGUGGUGACUUUACCGAAAGAACCAAGAAUAUGAAUCCCUGCAGUCACGAAAUAUUUAAAUCGAAAGCAAGAACGUUGUCAGGGUCCGCCAUCGAACCCACGACCUCUUGCGUCGCCGGCGAGGAAGUUAACAUCUCGCCACCACGGCGACCUUAACACAGAAGACGUCAACCCAAUUCGUCAAUAAACGAUGUACUAUGAAGAAGGGCCAUUGCCCGAAACGUCGACGCAUUUAAUAUCUCUCCUGUUAUCGCCGCAGUGUCUUCGACGAAUGUGUCCCGUUCUGACGUUAUUGUUAACGUCACUGCAGCAGCAUCGCCAUAUUAAAAAACAAUGUUAUAAUGUCAACCUGAAACAUCGAUCCCCCCUCGUGGGUGGACCCAGCUGCCUCUGAAGCGGCCCACCCGGGUUCGAUUCCCGCACGUGAAUUUUUACGAAGCUGCUUAACACCUUACGUAACCACCAACGUAGCAUCAACAUAACACACCGUUAACAUAUCAUUAACAUAUCAUUAACAUAGUAUAUCAUGCACGUCUUAUUAGCAUAUCAACAUUACCGUUACAUCAUCAUAAUGCUGCGAACAUUACGCGAUGAUGUAAUCACGCAUGUUUUACGUCAUCACGUUAACAUUGCGCGAUGACAUCACGCACGACGCACGUUGCGAGCAGCGCAGGAACAAUUGCAGUGACGGCACUACCAAGGCGCGCGGUGAUUUCAUCAAGAGCCCUGUGUGGAGCCCCGUGACGUCACCACGGCUCAGUGGCGUAGCACGGGGCACGUUGAGGUUGUGAAUCAUGCAGACAAGGGUUCAAAGCCAACUUGGUUGAACAUUUUUGUUAAUUUUUUUAAAAUAAUUUUUUUACCGUUAAAAAACACAAAGGAAACGGUAAUUUUAAAAAAUGAAUUUUUUAUUUAUUUAUUUUAAAAAUACAUAUCAGGGUAACAAUGUAACUGCUUGUUGAUUUAAAAACCAGGAUGUUCUUAGCAAUCACAAAACCUUUGUGGCGCAGUGGUCCGCACGAUUGCCUCUCGAGCUUUGUGUACCCGGUUCAAAUCCCGGCAAUAUCUUUUUUGGGGUAUUUGCAAUUGUUUAAUGAUGUCAUUACACGACUGUAAACAUACGCGAUGACGUCAUUGCGUAAUCUAAACCCACGCGAUGACGUCAUAGCGUUCACAUUACACAGCCAGCUGAGCGCAGUGCAAUUACUACACCGCGCGGAGCACCACGCACUUGUGUGAAGACACGGUGGCUCAAGGCAAUGCAAGGCAAGCUCCGAGACGAAUAGGUGCCAAGGUUCGAAUCCUGGAUAGAGGUGAGUGGUGAAAUAUGCGAUGUGGCAAGUGUAUAUAACGUGGAAAGUGUAAUAUGAUGUUAACGUGCUAACACGUGGAGAUGGGACCUAAGCUGUGGAAGGUGGUGUGGCGACCUUGGACCAGGUGUGGAUGAUUGUAACCAUGUGUGGUGUCUCUGUACGAAGUGCAGGUGGAGAUGGAGUUCCAACUUGAGGAGACCUGGGACCAGUCUUGAAGGGGACGAAGACCCAGAUAAGGGAGUGACCUGGAAGAAAUUUAUAAUUUUUCGGCAUUACGCUAAGACUAAAUUUUGGCCACUAGGGGGCGCUGUUAUACCACUAGGGGGCGCUGUUCUAUGGGAAUACCCAUUGUGAGUGCAAAUUUUCUGUAAAUAAACGCGUUUAAACCGUUUUUUUUUACGUAUUUAAGCUUUUACGCAAAAUUACGGUGAAAUCUACUUCUAAACGUGAACAAAAAUGGUAAAACAGUAACAUUUACCCACAGGGGCAGGUGUCGGAUUGCUUAAAAUUUGCAUAAGCACUGCUGUUUUCACACCCAAAACAUUGGAUCUAUGAAAAACAUAACCGUACAAUAUUUCCAAACCAAUAUUUUAAAACCCUUUAAAACAGUAACCAGCGGUGAAGUAUGGUCAAAUAACCCCCAUGAUUUGUACAGACUUGCAAGGCACUCAUCCAGCAGUGGAUUGACAAAAGGGACUGUGGAAAUAUGUACAAACAGCAACCAUUAAAAGGGUUAAAAAUGAGCAAGACGUGGCCAAACUAUCCAGUUGUGUAAAUAUGAAGAAAAAAAUACAUGUGACUGAUAACAUUUUCUCAGGGUGUUUCGGUUUUCAAUCCACAUGUAUAAACACCCAUCAUUAACUGGCUGAAAACGACUUAAAAUAUAAGUCCAAUGCAAGACACUCCUGAAAAAGAGUCGUACGACUCGGUGUGACUUUUCUGGAUAAAUCAGUGAACUGCACUCCAAAGACCCUUCCCCUAUUCAAGUCCAGGUUUAAUCUCUUCCUCUCCUCUGCCUGUAACACGCUCGAUAAGUCACCAUCAAUUUCCCUCUUCAGUUUGUUUCCUCCUAUCCCUGUGCCCCUGCACAAGUAACACCACAACAAGCCUUGCCAUUCCUGUGCCCCUACACAAGUAACACCACAACAAGCCCUACCAUCCCUGGUGCCCCUACACAAGUAACACCACAACAAGCCCUACCAUCCCUGGUGCCCCUACACAACA
Molecule: non-coding RNA, 2543 nt
Organism: Petromyzon marinus (sea lamprey)
Lineage: Eukaryota; Metazoa; Chordata; Hyperoartia; Petromyzontiformes; Petromyzontidae
Source: RefSeq, a predicted model, not a curated record